CUCCAACGAGCGCAAUGGGCGAAAGCCUGACGCAGCCAUGCCGCGUGAAUGAUGAAGGUCUUAGGAUUGUAAAAUUCUUUCACCGGGGAAGAUAAUGACGGUACCCGGAGAAGAAGCCCCGGCUAACUUCGUGCCAGCAGCCGCGGUAAUACGAAGGGGGCUAGCGUUGCUCGGAAUUACUGGGCGUAAAGGGCGCGUAGGCGGAUAUCUAAGUUGGGGGUGAAAGCCCGGGGCUCAACCUCGGAAUAGCCUUCAAUACUGGAUAUCUUGAGUUCGGGAGAGGUGAGUGGAAUGCCGAGUGUAGAGGUGAAAUUCGUAGAUAUUCGGCGGAACACCAGUGGCGAAGGCGACUCACUGGCCCGAUACUGACGCUGAGGCGCGAAAGCGUGGGGAGCAAACA
This 400-nucleotide ribosomal RNA is filed under the name uncultured bacterium. RNAcentral's name for it is "bacterial SSU rRNA". It matches the Rfam family "Bacterial small subunit ribosomal RNA", at positions 357 to 774 of the family's 1533-position model. The record is from RNAcentral.